ACGUAGGUGACAAGCGUUGUCCGGAUUUACUGGGCGUAAAGAGCGCGCAGGCGGUCGAUCAAGUCGAGUGUGAAAGCCCCCGGCUCAACUGGGGAGGGUCAUUCGAUACUGAUCGACUCGAAGGCAGGAGAGGGUAGUGGAAUUCCCGGUGUAGUGGUGAAAUGCGUAGAUAUCGGGAGGAACACCAGUGGCGAAGGCGACUACCUGGCCUGUUCUUGACGCUGAGGCGCGAAAGCUAGGGGAGCAAGCGGG
RNAcentral lists this ribosomal RNA (252 nucleotides) under uncultured bacterium. Its description in RNAcentral is "partial 16S ribosomal RNA". It matches the Rfam family "Bacterial small subunit ribosomal RNA", at positions 525 to 776 of the family's 1533-position model. The record is from RNAcentral.